AGCGAACGCUGGCGGCAGGCCUAACACAUGCAAGUCGAACGCACCUUCGGGUGAGUGGCGGACGGGUGAGUAACACGUGGGAACGUACCUUUAGGUUCGGAAUAACGCAGGGAAACUUGCGCUAAUACCGAAUGUGCCCUUGGGGAAAGAUUUAUCGCCUUUAGAGCGGCCCGCGUUAGAUUAGCUAGUUGGUGAGGUAAUGGCCCACCAAGGCUACGAUCUAUAGCUGGUCUGGAGAGGAUGAUCAGCCACACUGGGGACUGAGACACGGCCCAGACUCCUACGGGGAGGCAGCAGGUGGGGAAUCUUGCGGCAAUGGGCGAAAGCCUGACGCAGCCAU
Molecule: ribosomal RNA, 340 nt
Filed under: uncultured bacterium
Lineage: Bacteria
Description: bacterial SSU rRNA
Rfam family: Bacterial small subunit ribosomal RNA
Source: RNAcentral